GAUGAACGCUGGCGGCGUGCCUAAUACAUGCAAGUCGAGCGAACGGACGAGAAGCUUGCUUUUCUGAUGUUAGCGGCGGACGGGUGAGUAACACGUGGAUAACCUACCUAUAAGACUGGGAUAACUUCGGGAAACCGGAGCUAAUACCGGAUAAUAUUUUGAACCGCAUGGUUCAAAAGUGAAAGACGGUCUUGCUGUCACUUAUAGAUGGAUCCGCGCUGCAUUAGCUAGUUGGUAAGGUAACGGCUUACCAAGGCAACGAUGCAUAGCCGACCUGAGAGGGUGAUCGGCCACACUGGAACUGAGACACGGUCCAGACUCCUACGGGAGGCAGCAGUAGGGAAUCUGCCGCAAUGGGCGAAAGCCUGACGGAGCAACGCCGCGUGAGUGAUGAAGGUCUUCGGAUCGUAAAACGCUGUUAUUAGGGAAGAACAUAUGUGUAAGUAACUGUGCACAUCUUGACGGUACCUAAUCAGAAAGCCACGGCGAACUACGU
RNAcentral lists this ribosomal RNA (496 nucleotides) under uncultured bacterium. Its description in RNAcentral is "partial 16S ribosomal RNA". It matches the Rfam family "Bacterial small subunit ribosomal RNA", at positions 28 to 506 of the family's 1533-position model. The record is from RNAcentral.